CGCAUGGUAGGAGAGCGUUCCGUAAGCCUGCGAAGGUGCCUUGUAAAGGGUGCUGGAGGUAUCGGAAGUGCGAAUGCUGACAUGAGUAGCGAUAAAGGGGGUGAAAGGCCCCCUCGCCGUAAGCCCAAGGUUUCCUACGCAACGUUCAUCGGCGUAGGGUGAGUCGGCCCCUAAGGCGAGGCAGAAAUGCGUAGCUGAUGGGAAGCAGGUCAAUAUUCCUGCACCGUCGUUAGAUGCGAUGGGGGGACGGAUCGCGGAAGGUUGUCCGGGUGUUGGAAGUCCCGGUCGCUGCAUUGGAGAAGGCGCUUAGGCAAAUCCGGGCGCAGGAUUCAAGGGUGUGGCGCGAGCGCUCUAGGGCGCGAAGCAAUUGGAAGUGGUUCCAAGAAAAGCCUCUAAGCUUCAGUCUAACGAUGACCGUACCGCAAACCGACACAGGUGGGCGAGAUGAGUAUUCUAAGGCGCUUGAGAGAACUCGGGAGAAGGAACUCGGCAAAUUGGUACCGUAACUUCGGGAUAAGGUACGCCCUUGUAGCUUGACUGGCCUGCGCCAGGAGGGUGAAGGGGUUGCAAUAAACUGGUGGCUGCGACUGUUUAAUAAAAACACAGCACUCUGCAAACACGAAAGUGGACGUAUAGGGUGUGACGCCUGCCCGGUGCCGGAAGAUUAAAUGAUGGGGUGCAAGCUCUUGAUUGAAGUCCCGGUAAACGGCGGCCGUAACUAUAACGGUCCUAAGGUAGCGAAAUUCCUUGUCGGGUAAGUUCCGACCUGCACGAAUGGCGUAACGAUGGCCACACUGUCUCCUCCCGAGACUCAGCGAAGUUGAAGUGUUUGUGAUGAUGCAAUCUACCCGCGGCUAGACGGAAAGACCCCAUGAACCUUUACUGUAGCUUUGCAUUGGACUUUGAACCGAUCUGUGUAGGAUAGGUGGGAGGCUAUGAAACCGGAACGCUAGUUUCGGUGGAGCCGUCCUUGAAAUACCACCCUGGUUUGUUUGAGGUUCUAACCUUGGCCCGUGAUCCGGGUCGGGGACAGUGCAUGGUAGGCAGUUUGACUGGGGCGGUCUCCUCCCAAAGCGUAACGGAGGAGUACGAAGGUACGCUAGGUACGGUCGGAAAUCGUGCUGAUAGUGCAAUGGCAUAAGCGUGCUUAACUGCGAGACCGACAAGUCGAGCAGGUGCGAAAGCAGGUCAUAGUGAUCCGGUGGUUCUGUAUGGAAGGGCCAUCGCUCAACGGAUAAAAGGUACUCUGGGGAUAACAGGCUGAUACCGCCCAAGAGUUCAUAUCGACGGCGGUGUUUGGCACCUCGAUGUCGGCUCAUCUCAUCCUGGGGCUGUAGCCGGUCCCAAGGGUAUGGCUGUUCGCCAUUUAAAGAGGUACGUGAGCUGGGUUUAAAACGUCGUGAGACAGUUUGGUCCCUAUCUGCCGUGGGCGUUGGAUAUUUGAAGGGGGCUGCUCCUAGUACGAGAGGACCGGAGUGGACGAACCUCUGGUGUACCGGUUGUGACGCCAGUCGCAUCGCCGGGUAGCUAUGUUCGGAAGAGAUAACCGCUGAAAGCAUCUAAGCGGGAAACUCGCCUUAAGAUGAGAUAUCCCUGGAGGCUUGACCUCCUUGAAGGGUCGUUCGAGACCAGGACGUUGAUAGGUCAGGUGUGUAAGCGCAGUAAUGCGUUCAGCUAACUGAUACUAAUUGCCCGUAAGGCUUGAUCCUAUAACA
RNAcentral lists this ribosomal RNA (1715 nucleotides) under Burkholderia ubonensis. RNAcentral describes it as "bacterial LSU rRNA". It matches the Rfam family "Bacterial large subunit ribosomal RNA", at positions 1222 to 2925 of the family's 2925-position model. The record is from RNAcentral. Lineage: Bacteria; Pseudomonadati; Pseudomonadota; Betaproteobacteria; Burkholderiales; Burkholderiaceae.